AAUAGAUACCCUGGUAGUCCACGCCGUAAACGAUGGAUGCUAGCUAUUGGGGGGAAUCGACCCCCUCCGAAGCGAAGCUAACGCGUUAAGCAUCCCGCCUGAGUAGUACGAGCGCAAGCUUAAAACUCAAAGGAAUUGACGGGGACCCGCACAAGCGGUGGAGCGUGUGGUUUAAUUCGAUGGUAAACGAAGAACCUCACCAAGGUUUGACAUCCCGGUAGCCGUUCUCCGAAAGGAGAAUUUCAUUUAGUUGGACCGGUGACAGGUGAUGCAUGGCCGUCGUCAGCUCGUGUCGUGAGAUGUUGGGUUAAGUCCCGCAACGAGCGCAACCCUUAUGAUUUAGUUGGAUUUUUCUAAACAGACUGCCCUGGUAACAGGGAGGAAGGAGGGGAUGAUGUCAGGUCAGUAUUUCCCUUACACCUUGGGCGACACACGCGCUACAAUGGCCGGUACAAUGGGCAGCUAAGCCGCGAGGUGGAGCAAAUCCCAUCAAAGCCGGUCCCAGUUCGGAUUGCAGGCUGAAACCCGCCUGCAUGAAGCCGGAAUCGCU
RNAcentral lists this ribosomal RNA (550 nucleotides) under uncultured bacterium. RNAcentral describes it as "bacterial SSU rRNA". It matches the Rfam family "Bacterial small subunit ribosomal RNA", at positions 777 to 1336 of the family's 1533-position model. The record is from RNAcentral.